This 253-nucleotide ribosomal RNA is filed under the name uncultured bacterium. RNAcentral's name for it is "partial 16S ribosomal RNA". It matches the Rfam family "Bacterial small subunit ribosomal RNA", at positions 524 to 776 of the family's 1533-position model. The record is from RNAcentral.
UACGGAGGGUGCAAGCGUUGUUCGGAAUUACUGGGCGUAAAGGGCGCGUAGGUGGUUAUGCAAGUCAGAUGUGAAAUCCUUCGGCUCAACUGAAGAACUGCAUCUGAAACUGCAUAACUAGAGUACAGGAGAGGGAAACGGAAUUCCCGGUGUAGAGGUGAAAUUCGUAGAUAUCGGGAGGAACACCUGUGGCGAAGGCGGUUUCCUGGCCUGAUACUGACACUGAGUCGCGAAAGCGUGUGGAGCAACCAGG